Molecule: ribosomal RNA, 520 nt
Filed under: uncultured Glomus
Lineage: Eukaryota; Fungi; Glomeromycota; Glomeromycetes; Glomerales; Glomeraceae
Description: SSU rRNA
Rfam family: Eukaryotic small subunit ribosomal RNA
Source: RNAcentral
AGCAGCCGCGGUAAUUCCAGCUCCAAUAGCGUAUAUUAAAGUUGUUGCAGUUAAAAAGCUCGUAGUUGAAUUUCGAGAUCGGCUUACUGGUCGUGCUUUUGUACGUACUGGUAUAAUCGGUUUCUCCUUUCUGACGAACUUUAAUGCCAUUAAUUUGGUGUUUUAGGGAAUCAGGACUGUUACUUUGAAAAAAUUAGAGUGUUUAAAGCAGGCUCACGCUUGAAUACAUUAGCAUGGAAUAACGGAAUAGGACGUUUGAUUCUAUUUUGUUGGUUUCUAGGAUCGACGUAAUGAUUAAUAGGGAUAGUUGGGGGCAUUAGUAUUCAAUUGUCAGAGGUGAAAUUCUUGGAUUUAUUGAAGACUAACUACUGCGAAAGCAUUUGCCAAGGAUGUUUUCAUUAAUCAAGAACGAAAGUUAGGGGAUCGAAGACGAUCAGAUACCGUCGUAGUCUUAACCAUAAACUAUGCCGACUAGGGAUCGGAUGAUGUUAAUUUUUAAUGACUCAUUCGGCGCCUUACG